This 451-nucleotide ribosomal RNA is filed under the name uncultured Fibrobacter sp. Its description in RNAcentral is "bacterial SSU rRNA". It matches the Rfam family "Bacterial small subunit ribosomal RNA", at positions 341 to 792 of the family's 1533-position model. Lineage: Bacteria; Pseudomonadati; Fibrobacterota; Fibrobacteria; Fibrobacterales; Fibrobacteraceae. The record is from RNAcentral.
ACGGAAGGCAGCAGUAGGGAAUAUUGCACAAUGGGGGAAACCCUGAUGCAGCAACGCCACGUGUGGGAAGAAGCCUUUCGGUGUGUAAACCACUGUCGUGAGGGAAUAAUGUUGCGUUUCGGCGCAAUUGAAUGUACCUCGAAAGGAAGCACCGGCAAACUUCGUGCCAGCAGCCGCGGUAAUACGAGGGGUGCAAGCGUUGUUCGGAAUCACUGGGCGUAAAGGGAGCGUAGGCGGAGGAGCAAGCAGUCUGUACAAUACCGGGGCCCAACCCCGGACCUGCAGACUGGACUGUUUCUCUUGGAUAGCUCAGGGGCUGGCGGAAUUCCUGGUGUAGCGGUGGAAUGCGUAGAGAUCAGGAAGAACACCGACGGCGAAGGCAGCCAGCUGGGGGCUUAUCGACGCUCAUGCUCGAAAGUGCGGGUAGCAAACAGGAUUAGAUACCCUGGUA